GUAGGGAAUCUUCCACAAUGGACGAAAGUCUGAUGGAGCAACGCCGCGUGAGUGAAGAAGGUCUUCGGAUCGUAAAACUCUGUUGUUAGAGAAGAACGUGCGUGAUAGUAACUGAUCAUGUAAUGACGGUAUCUAACCAGAAAGCCACGGCUAACUACGUGCCAGCAGCCGCGGUAAUACGUAGGUGGCAAGCGUUGUCCGGAUUUAUUGGGCGUAAAGGGAACGCAGGCGGUUUUUUAAGUCUGAUGUGAAAGCCUUCGGCUUAACCGAAGAAUAGCAUUGGAAACUGGAAGACUUGAGUGCAGAAGAGGAGAGUGGAAUUCCAUGUGUAGCGGUGAAAUGCGUAGAUAUAUGGAGGAACACCAGUGGCGAAAGCGGCUCUCUGGUCUGUAACUGACGCUGAGGUUCGAAAGCGUGGGUAGCAAACAGGAUUAGAAACCCUUGUAGUCC
Molecule: ribosomal RNA, 450 nt
Filed under: uncultured bacterium
Lineage: Bacteria
Description: partial 16S ribosomal RNA
Rfam family: Bacterial small subunit ribosomal RNA
Source: RNAcentral